Molecule: long non-coding RNA, 232 nt
Organism: Papilio machaon (common yellow swallowtail)
Lineage: Eukaryota; Metazoa; Arthropoda; Insecta; Lepidoptera; Papilionidae
Exons: 4
Source: RefSeq, a predicted model, not a curated record
GGUCAUCAAACCAAACAUCAUUCAAAAUUAUGGGAUGAUGGCGAAAAGUGGGAAACGAUACUUUACAAAUUGACCGGUUUACGCGAAAGAAACAAAGCCAUCGCUUACAUUAAAAGCAAAGCGAAUCUUAAAAGCGAUGAGGAAGUCUAUAGAUUUGUUAUAUCCCUUCGCGGUUCAAGAGGUUGGAGCUUCACUUAUGACUUCCUUACAACAUUGGAAGGAGAUACGAGUA